Molecule: ribosomal RNA, 406 nt
Filed under: uncultured bacterium
Lineage: Bacteria
Description: partial 16S ribosomal RNA
Rfam family: Bacterial small subunit ribosomal RNA
Source: RNAcentral
AUUGAACGCUGGCGGCAGGCUUAACACAUGCAAGUCGAGCGCGCGGCGGACGGGUGAGUCCUGUCUGGGACACUGCCUGAUGGAGGGGGAUAACUACUGGAAACGGUAGCUAAUACCGCAUACCAUCAGAUGUGCCCAGAUGGGAUUAGCUAGUAGGUGGGGUACUGGCUCACCUAGGCGACGAUCCCUAGCUGGUCUGAGAUGAUGACCAUACACACUGUAACGGAGACACGGUCCAGACUCCUACGGGAGUCAGCAGUGGGGAAUAUUGAACAAUGGGCGUAAUCCUGAGGCAGCCAUGCCGCGGGUGUGAAGAAGGCCUUCGGGUUGUAAAGCACUUUCAGCGAGGAGGCGUUACUCGCAGAAGAAGCACCGGCUAACUCCGUGCCAGCAGCCGCGGUAAUUC